This 415-nucleotide ribosomal RNA is filed under the name uncultured bacterium. RNAcentral describes it as "bacterial SSU rRNA". It matches the Rfam family "Archaeal small subunit ribosomal RNA", at positions 330 to 747 of the family's 1478-position model. The record is from RNAcentral.
GUGCAGCAGGCGCGAAUACUGUGCAAUGCGCGAAAGCGCGACACGGGGAGCUUGAGUGUCUUGGCAUAGCCAAGACUUUUCUUAUACCUAAAAAGUAUGAGGAAUAAGUGCUGGGUAAGACGGGUGCCAGCCGCCGCGGUAACACCCGCAGCACAAGUGGUGGUCACUUUUAUUGAGCCUAAAGCGUUCGUAGCCUGUUUUGUAAAUCUUCAAGUAAAGCCUGAAGCUCAACUCCAGAAAGCUUGAAGAGACUGCAAAACUUGAGAUCGGGUGAGGUUAAACGUACUUUCAGGGUAGGGGUAAAAUCCUGUAAUCCUGGAAGGACGACCAGUGGCGAAGGCGUUUAACUAGAACGAAUCUGACGGUGAGGAACGAAGGCUAGGGUAGCAAACCGGAUUAGAUACCCGCGUAGUCC